CAGAAAUUAAAGUGUAUACUGCCAGUCACUCUUAGAACAGAGGUGACUCUGUGGCGAAACCAACCUCGCCACUGUGCACUGGAGAAGCCUGGUUGCUCGCCUGCUCCCUUUAGACCAUGGCCCAGCAUUUAAAACCUUUUUUUUUCCCAGUAGAAAGGCGUAUUCAUGCUUUUCUGCCUGGGGUUUGGUAGAUUCAAUCUACCGAACCAAGUACCGAACGACCGACCACCUGGGAACUGGAGUGUGCCGUCAAUUGACCACCCAGAAGCUGCGGUUAACCACAGUUAAUUGACGAAUGCUGGGUGGCCUUUGUUCGUUUGCCGAACACGUGGCAGCGGCCAUUUUAACUCCCGAACGGCCAGCGGUGUUCAGCGCCCAAACUAUGGAACUAGAAACGGACACUUAUUUGCGCGAACACCGCUGAGCCGCCAGCCUCCUUACCUCUGCAUUCGGUAGUGGAACUGAAUGACUGUUCAUUCGGUAGUUUGACUGUAUGAACAGCAUCACCCCAGAUAGCUAUGCCAUGGAGCCUAUUCGUGUAACGAAAGACUAUGGAAAAGACUUUGGCUCCAUGGCGAUUGAACUGUAUGUAUGUGAUCUGAGCGCCAUUCGGUAAUAAUGUGCGCUCAGAUCUAAGCUAUCUGGGGAUAUGUAAAAUGUAUGGUGUUUUGUUAAUUAUUUGCAACAGUGGGUAUUUUUGAGUCUUUUUAUUAUCAUGUGCUCAAUGGAGUUUUGCUUCUGUCCUGGGAGAUAAUUGGAUUACUUCCCAAUUAUCUCCAGGAUAGAGAGAAAGGAUUGUGAUGUAUUGUGGGUGUGUUCUGUGGUGUAUGUCUGUGAUUGGUUACUGUCCAAUAUGGUUCCCAGUCUUCCAUCUGGUCCCCUAGGGGAAUGUCCACCGGGUGGAAGACCUGCAUAAAAGCCGGGCAGGUAGCCCCAGUAAACCAGUUCUGCUUGACCUCAAAACAUAGUGUCGUCUCGUUAUUGGGGGAAUUGGAUUGUAUGCUGAUUGCCAGGAGUGUAAGCUGAUUGUAUGCUUUUCCUGUUCGGCUGUUUCCAGUGUUUGUGUGUUUCCUGUUCAGGAGUUGGCGGAUUCAUGUAGUUUGCCGUUCGGGAGAUUGUGGAUUGCAGUAGCUGCCUGUGCAUCUGAAAGG
Non-coding RNA from Pelobates cultripes (western spadefoot toad), 1151 nucleotides. NCBI's taxonomy places the organism in Eukaryota, Metazoa, Chordata, Amphibia, Anura, Pelobatidae. The record is from the annotation of a GenBank genome assembly.